GAUGAACGCCGGCGGUAUGCUUAACACAUGCAAGUCGAACGGACUCUUCGGAGUUAGUGGCGGACGGGUGAGUAACGCGUGAGAAUCUGGCUUUGGGUUCGGGACAACCACUGGAAACGGUGGCUAAUACCGGAUGUGCCGAGAGGUAAAAGAGAAAUUGCCUGAAGAUGAGCUCGCGUCUGAUUAGCUAGUUGGUGAGGUAAAGGCUCACCAAGGCAGCGAUCAGUAGCUGGUCUGAGAGGAUGACCAGCCACACUGGGACUGAGACACGGCCCAGACUCCUACGGGAGGCAGCAGUGGGGAAUUUUCCGCAAUGGGCGAAAGCCUGACGGAGCAAUACCGCGUGAGGGAAGAAGGCUCUUGGGUUGUAAACCUCUUUUCUUAGGGAAGAACAAAAUGACGGUACCUAAGGAAUCAGCAUCGGCUAACUCCGUG
RNAcentral lists this ribosomal RNA (435 nucleotides) under uncultured bacterium. RNAcentral describes it as "partial 16S ribosomal RNA". It matches the Rfam family "Bacterial small subunit ribosomal RNA", at positions 28 to 507 of the family's 1533-position model. The record is from RNAcentral.